This 71-nucleotide ribosomal RNA is filed under the name Acinetobacter indicus. Its description in RNAcentral is "partial 16S ribosomal RNA". It matches the Rfam family "Bacterial small subunit ribosomal RNA", at positions 1 to 69 of the family's 1533-position model. The record is from RNAcentral. RNAcentral also lists the same sequence under 1 other name. Lineage: Bacteria; Pseudomonadati; Pseudomonadota; Gammaproteobacteria; Moraxellales; Moraxellaceae.
UUAAACUGAAGAGUUUGAUCAUGGCUCAGAUUGAACGCUGGCGGCAGGCUUAACACAUGCAAGUCGAGCGG